RNAcentral lists this long non-coding RNA (651 nucleotides) under Chrysemys picta bellii (western painted turtle). RNAcentral's name for it is "lncRNA (ENSCPBG00000013277.1)". The record is from RNAcentral. Lineage: Eukaryota; Metazoa; Chordata; Testudines; Emydidae.
UCCCACAACAAGCCAGCCGUAGUGGACCACAGUGAUGGACCAGCAGCUUUUGCCACCACUGAGGACACUGCCUCCGACCAGUGGACCAGCUUACCUCUUUCAAACAUCAGACUUAAAUUGACUCGGCAAAAAUAAAAGGACCUUUUAUUCUGACAACUGUAUGUUUUUUAUUAUGCCUUUUUAGUCUAUUUUCUGCUUAUGAAGAUAAUGCUUUUAUUAGAUAUUCCCACGAGGUUAAAACUCGUAUUUUAGGAAAUAGAAGUAAUUGCUGGGUAUGUACUCAAUUUCCAGUAAAUGCAGAACAGGGACUACUAGAAUCUUUAACCAAUAAAACUGCGACCCUAUUUGAGAAUCAGGCCGGGGAAAUGUCCCAGCUGCGCCAGUUAGCUUUGCAAAACCAAAUGGCUUUAGACAUAAUGAGCCACCUUAUGAUUGGUGGGGAGCCUUAUGGAAUUGGCUGCCUGGAUUUGGGUGGGUUAAAAAACUCUUGGUGGGUAUUGUUGGGGCCAUAGUAAUCCUUAUAAUACUGUGUUGCUGUAUUCAGUGUGUCCCCUCCCUCAUAGACUCAUGUGGGUCAGUUUAUUCUUUUCCUAUUUCAGCCAAGGGCCUUACUCUCUUCGAGUUGGCCGAGGCUGAAAUUGCCAAGCGGCC